UUUUACUUAGAGGUUAUUAAAUCAUUCAAUACAAGAACACUAGUGGAACGAAGCGUAAAAGAAACGGAAGAAAAAAGGGACACAGAGUGAAUUCUAAGAAGUGUGUGUGAGAAGAAGAAUGCAAUGUGCGAACACUUCCUGGGUAUCAACCAUUCAUCUGCCACUCAUCAAAGCAUCAAAUUCACAGACCAAAUUGCCAUUUUCCCAAACAAGAGCUCAACUUCCUAGGAGCCCUAAUGCUUAUGAUGAUGAUGAUGAUGAUGGUGAGAGUUCAGUGGUGACCAUUCCUCUGCCUUCUCAUUUGAAAUCCAUCACAAGCACAUCAAACCCAUUUGUGAAACACUGCCUCAAGCUUCGACACAGCUCUUCGUAUCGCCACUCUCAUGCUUCAGCUCUUGUUGUUGGCACUACCCCUAUAAGGGAAAUAUGCAGGUUUCAAGGAUCAAUGCAAGAGAGACGUGCUGUGAUAGAUUGUUUACUUCUACUUGAUAAAGCUGAGAUUCCUGAAGGGUUGAAUGAUCUCCCUGUUCGUCUUGUUCGUGUUAGCGCAAUGGUAAUGAAGAAACUUUCUGGAAUGCAAUCAACUGAAUCUAUUGAAGCAAUCGCUCUAAUGAGAAUCCCUUCAAGUUUUCGUAGUUUAGAUGACAACCAGCAAGACACAGAUUGUCGAAGGUGGUUUCCAUCUCCACGUCGAACUUUAGUUCUUGAUGGGAUCCAGGACCCGGGGAAUCUUGGCACAUUACUUAGGUCAGCGAUGGCCUUUAGAUGGGGUGGUGUCUUUUUGCUUCCUGGCUGUUGUGAUCCAUUCAACGAGAAAGCCCUCCGAGCUAGCCGAGGAGCCUCCUUUCAGCUUUCUAUAGUUUCUGGCAGUUGGAUUCAUCUACAAGCUCUCAGAAAUGAAUUUCACAUGAAGAUGUUGGCCGGCCACCCAGAGAGCAAUGAAGAUUUGAAGCCAGUGUCUCGGCUUUGUCAAGGGCUUGCAGAUUCUUUAGCAGAUGCAUCAUUGUGCUUGGUUUUAGGCAGCGAAGGGGGUGGCAUUUCAGAGAUGACUAAGCAAGUAUGUGAGCUUGUAAGCAUUCCAAUGGCAGGAAAAUUUGAAUCUCUCAAUGUUUCUGUUGCGGGUGGAAUCUUCUUGUAUAUGCUACAGCCUGAGAACCAUAAAAAUUCCUGAAGCAAAUUGAGACAGCACAAACAGAAAAUGGGCAUGGAACAUGAUUGGGUGGCCGAAAAUGCAAGCUGAAUGGGGUGCUCCCCAUUCAACCGGCCAGCUUAUCUCUACUCAGUGGGUAUUAAUUGUAACUGAAUAUUACUUUAGAAUGAGACUAGCCAGAAAGAAGGCAGAGAAAGCAGAUGAUGGUUGUGGUUCUUGGUGGUGACGGUGACGAAUUUAAAGAAUAGAGAGGACGGAGAAAUGAAAAGUGGAUCUAGACAACCACAUUAUCACUUUGGAGGAUUCCCACAGGUGAAGUUCUUGGAGGGGGCUUUUGAGUAUGUGGAGUUAAUUUACCUAGACUAACCGGUGUUAGACAAGAGGUAAUCUAGUGACGAGGAUAUCGAGCUUUCAGAAGAAGGAAGAAAAGAAUAUGCUGAUGUUUUAGUGGUGGGAGGAAUAGAGCACAAUACAUUUGGUUGUGUAAGCAAUAUAUCCAACGGUUAAGCAAAUCCAAGUUUUUUUUUUUUUUUUUUUUUUUUGUCAUCUGGGCUUGCAAAUCCAGGUCUUAACUUGCUAAGCUUGGAUGCCUAUUCAGAUUGAUUUCAUUGCGUAAAUUGAAUAUCACAUUUGGUAGUGUAGAAUUUACUCAGAAUUCGAAUU
Molecule: RNA transcript, 1813 nt
Organism: Cornus florida
Lineage: Eukaryota; Viridiplantae; Streptophyta; Magnoliopsida; Cornales; Cornaceae
Exons: 6
Source: RefSeq, a predicted model, not a curated record